ACACAUGCAAGUCGAGGGGCAGCGCGGGAUAGCAAUAUCCUGGCGGCGACCGGCGGAAGGGUGCGUAACGCGUGAGCGACAUGCCCGUUGCCCGGGGACAACCGGUGGAAACGCCGACUAAUCCCCGAUGGGAUAUUGUGCCGCAUGGCACGAUAUUGAAAGUUACGGCGGCGACGGAUUGGCUCGCGUCCGAUUAGCUUGUUGGCGGGGUAACGGCCCACCAAGGCUACGAUCGGUAGGGGUUCUGAGAGGAAGGCCCCCCACAAUGGGACUGAGACACGGCCCAUACUCCUACGGGAGGCAGCAGUGAGGAAUAUUGGUCAAUGGGCGGAAGCCUGAACCAGCCAUGCCGCGUGCGGGAAGGAGGCCCUAUGGGCUGUGAACCGCUUUUGCCUGGGGGCAAUAAGGGCGUCGCGCACGCCCGAUGAGAGUACCAGGCGAAUAAGCAUCGGCUAACUCCGUGCCAGCAGCCGCGGUAAUACGGGGGAUGCGAGCGUUAUCCGGAUUCAUUGGGUUUAGAGGGUGCGUAGGCUGUGCGUCAAGUCGGGGGUGAAAUUCCGGUGCUCAACACCGGGGCUGCCCUUGAUACUGUCGCGCUGGAGUGCGGAUGCCGCCGGAGGAAUGAGUGGUGUAGCGGUGAAAUGCUUAGAUAUCACUCAGAACACCGAUUGCGAAGGCAUCUGGCGAAUCCGUAACUGACGCUGAGGCACGAAAGCGUGGGGAUAGAACAGGAUUAGAUACCCUGGUAUUCCACGCCGUAAACGAUGAUGGCUAACCGCCGGCGACACACUGUCGGUGGCCAAGCGAAAGCGAUAAGCCAUCCACCUGGGGAGUACGUCG
Molecule: ribosomal RNA, 840 nt
Filed under: uncultured bacterium
Lineage: Bacteria
Description: bacterial SSU rRNA
Rfam family: Bacterial small subunit ribosomal RNA
Source: RNAcentral